Molecule: transfer RNA, 105 nt
Filed under: Caudoviricetes sp.
Lineage: Duplodnaviria; Heunggongvirae; Uroviricota; Caudoviricetes
Description: tRNA-OTHER
Source: RNAcentral
AGGGUGGUAGUACAAGUAGUACGGCAUCAGAUGUAGGGCAGGAUAAAUCCGUAAGUCCGAGCAGUUAGACAGCAGUUGUGGGUAUCGAAUCCCACCCACCCUCCA